CGAUACUUGUGUUGGUGGGAGAGAGCAAGUACCCAGUGAAAUACUCUAGGUGCACACAAGUUAGCCCGGAUACCACCGUUAUUAAAAAAAAGGUACGUACCACAUGGAUGGGCAACAAGAAAAAUAGUUGAAGGAGUAAGAACAAGUUGAUGGUUAUAUUAAGUGUAGGGAAAUCUUCAUGAUGACAAGCCUAAAUUAAUCAAGAUAAUUUUAAUUGGGGUUACCACUAGUUAAAAAUAAAAAACAUAGUACGCAUUUUAGCUCUCUGACAGUAUCAAGGCCCGAUGAACACUCAAUUUUUUAUGAACAAUCAAGCUUAAAAAAUUUAAAGGCCUACAAAUAGGAGAGAACGCAAAGGAUAAGCAGCAGGAAUUACUCAACACCUCGUUAAGGCGCUCAGCAUCCUGCAUCUUCUGCAGCAUCCAACGAUCAACCAACGUUUUAUUUUCUGCCUCAGCAUUGUUUGCUCUCAGAGUCAUUGCUUCAAGCUGUGCUUUAAGGUCCUCGUGCUCACCCAUAAUCAAUUCCAAAGCUUUAGUCUUUUCUGUGAGAAGUUCAUUGUGCUUUAAGCUCCUGGUGCUCACCCAUAAUCAAUUCCAAAGCUUUAGUCUUUUCUCUGAGAAGUUCAGUUAAACGAGAACAUUCGUCCCUGCAGCACACCCAUCAAAGAACGAAUAGAGCAGUUAAACUCCAUCCGGGCAUCCAAAGUAAACUUGCUGAGCUCAUCUUAGGAUAUCCAAAGUAAAGUUUAUUUGUUAAAUUGGGAAACCAAGAUACUUGUUAUAAUCUAAAACAUGAAGGUUCUUUCAGAAGCUUGAAACAGAAUCAGAA
Molecule: long non-coding RNA, 831 nt
Filed under: Nicotiana benthamiana
Lineage: Eukaryota; Viridiplantae; Streptophyta; Magnoliopsida; Solanales; Solanaceae
Description: long non-coding RNA (NBEN_LNC033335)
Source: RNAcentral